Molecule: ribosomal RNA, 531 nt
Filed under: uncultured bacterium
Lineage: Bacteria
Description: bacterial SSU rRNA
Rfam family: Bacterial small subunit ribosomal RNA
Source: RNAcentral
AGGCUUUGAUCCUGGCUCAGGACGAACGCUGGCGGCGUGCCUAACACAUGCAAGUUGAACGGACCGACAUACCGGAACCUUCAGGGGAAGGUAUGAAAGGUUAGUAGCGGACGGAUGAGUAACACGUGGGCAAUCUGCCCUUUAGACUGGGAUAACACCGGGAAACCGGUGCUAAUACCGGAUGAGAUUCUUUCCUGGCAUCAGGAAAGGAUGAAAGGAGGCCUCUCUAUAGAAGCUCCCGCUAAAGGAUGAGCCCGCGGCCCAUUAGCUGGUUGGUAGGGUAAUGGCCUACCAAGGCGACGAUGGGUAGCCGGCCUGAGAGGGUGAACGGCCACACUGGGACUGAGACACGGCCCAGACUCCUACGGGAGGCAGCAGUGGGGAAUAUUGCGCAAUGGGGGAAACCCUGACGCAGCAACGCCGCGUGAACGACGAAGGCCUUCGGGUCAUAAAGUUCUGUCAAGUGGGACGAAGUACUUAACGGUUAACAGCCGUUGAGGUGACGGUACCUAAAGAGGAAGUCCGGCUGAA